GAAAAUACCUGGCAGGGGAGAUACCAUGAUCACGAAGGUAGUUUUCCCAGGGCGAGGCUUACCUAUUGCGCUCCAGAUGUGCUGACCCCUGCGAUUUCCCCAAAUGUGGGAAACUCGACUGCAUAAUUUGUGGUGGUAGGGGACUGCUCGUGCUUUCCCCGG
RNAcentral lists this small nuclear RNA (162 nucleotides) under Saimiri boliviensis boliviensis (Bolivian squirrel monkey). RNAcentral's name for it is "U1 spliceosomal RNA (ENSSBOG00000036384.1)". It matches the Rfam family "U1 spliceosomal RNA". Rfam says of the family: U1 is a small nuclear RNA (snRNA) component of the spliceosome (involved in pre-mRNA splicing). Its 5' end forms complementary base pairs with the 5' splice junction, thus defining the 5' donor site of an intron. There are significant differences in sequence and secondary structure between metazoan and yeast U1 snRNAs, the latter being much longer (568 nucleotides as compared to 164 nucleotides in human). The record is from Rfam by way of RNAcentral. Lineage: Eukaryota; Metazoa; Chordata; Mammalia; Primates; Cebidae.